RNAcentral lists this ribosomal RNA (867 nucleotides) under uncultured bacterium. RNAcentral describes it as "bacterial SSU rRNA". It matches the Rfam family "Bacterial small subunit ribosomal RNA", at positions 1 to 872 of the family's 1533-position model. The record is from RNAcentral.
CACUAGUGAUUGUUUGAUCCUGGCUCAGGAUGAACGCUAGCGGCAGGCUUAACACAUGCAAGUCGAGGGGUAGAGGAAGCUUGCUUCCUUGAGACCGGCGCACGGGUGCGUAACGCGUAUGCAACCUACCUUUUACAGAGGGAUAGCCCAGAGAAAUUUGGAUUAAUACCUCAUGGUAUAUAUCAUUCGCAUGUUUGAUAUAUUAAAGUUCCAACGGUAAAAGAUGGGCAUGCGUCCUAUUAGCUAGAUGGUAAGGUAACGGCUUACCAUGGCAACGAUAGGUAGGGGUCCUGAGAGGGAGAUCCCCCACACUGGUACUGAGACACGGACCAGACUCCUACGGGAGGCAGCAGUGAGGAAUAUUGGACAAUGGGCGCAAGCCUGAUCCAGCCAUGCCGCGUGCAGGAAGAAGCAUCUAUGGUGUGUAAACUGCUUUUGUACGGGAAGAAACACUCCUUCGUGAAGGAGCUUGACGGUACCGUAAGAAUAAGGAUCGGCUAACUCCGUGCCAGCAGCCGCGGUAAUACGGAGGAUCCAAGCGUUAUCCGGAAUCAUUGGGUUUAAAGGGUCCGUAGGCGGUUUGGUAAGUCAGUGGUGAAAGCCCGCAGCUCAACUGUGGAACGGCCAUUGAUACUGCCAGACUUGAAUUACAAGGAAGUAACUAGAAUAUGUAGUGUAGCGGUGAAAUGCUUAGAUAUUACAUGGAAUACCAAUUGCGAAGGCAGGUUACUACUUGUGGAUUGACGCUGAUGGACGAAAGCGUGGGGAGCGAACAGGAUUAGAUACCCUGGUAGUCCACGCCGUAAACGAUGGAUACUAGCUGUUGGGGGCAACUUCAGUGGCUAAGCGAAAGUGAUAAGUUCCCAC